Molecule: long non-coding RNA, 6226 nt
Filed under: Brachypodium distachyon (stiff brome)
Lineage: Eukaryota; Viridiplantae; Streptophyta; Magnoliopsida; Poales; Poaceae
Description: long non-coding RNA (BDIS_LNC002885)
Source: RNAcentral
UGGAAAACAAGUGGGGACAGAUCGUCAGAUCGACUGGUGAAGUGUGCAUAUACAGAAUAUUGAUAAUGUGAACUACUUAUCAAGAACUUAACAUUCACUACAUCUCUAAAAAUAAUGUGAACUAGAAUAUUGAUACUACAUCACACAAUAAAAAUUGCACAGGUAAUAUAACUUGUCAGGGGCGUUAUGUAGAAGGUCGAAUGGACGUGAGCAACGGUUCAUGAGAAAUACGCAUAUAAGUGCCGAGUGUGUAGGUUCUUUGCGCUUUUUCUUAAAGCACAAACCCUCAAUGGAAACCAGAGUGUAGAGAAUUCGAGGUGGACCUAACACACUACGAGAGGGCCUAUUCACCUAUACCAACAACUUUGGUGUAGUUGAUUAGUCCCUUUUUAUUUCUACUUACUUAGUGCAAGCUUCCGGGCGGCAGAGCCACUCACGUUAAAGCAAGUCUUGAAUCCGGGCGGCUAUGCCACUCACGUUGAAACAAGACCGUUGUGAUUCCGGGCGAAUCCGCUCACGUUAAAUCACAACUUAUAUGCACUAAGUACUCAGAAAUAACAAGGCCUAACCGGGAGACUUAUAUGAACAAAGUAGUACUAUAUUGCUUUAGGAAUAUUAGUACAAGAGAGAGCAUACACACCUUACACUUGCUCACACCUUGUUCUCCACCUUCUUCACUUCUUUAUUCUCUACUACUCAAGGUGUGAGGCAAGGGCCUCUAUUUAUAGGACUACAUGGCCAUUGGAUCUUUGACAUGUGUCAAAAUCUUAGCCAUUGAUACAAAAUAUCUAAAGCCUUCCACACACUUCUACAUAAAUAUCUAGAUACUACAAGGUUUCCUAUUUAUUUAUUUUAAACUCCUAUUCUAGAAUAUUCCAAAGCUUCUUCAUGCAUAUCUAAACACUAGAAGGUUCCCUCUUUUAUUUAUUUUAUAUUCUAGAGUAUUCCAUAGUAAUGUCUUCUUUCUUGUAAUAUUGAGAACACUCUAGAAGCUUGCAUUGUAUUCUCCAACACUCCCCUCAAUGCAAAGCUUCUUUGGUGACCAUGCCAAGAGCUUCUCGAAACUUCUCGAACUUUGAUUUGUUGAGACUCUUGGUGAGGAUAUCUGCAGUCUGGUCUUCUGUCUUUGUUGGCACCAUCUCAAUUUCCCCCUUAAGGACCUUUUCUCUGAUAUAGUGGUAGUGCACCUCUAUGUGCUUUGUCCUUGCAUGGAAGACAGGAUUUUUUGCUAGCCUUAUGGUGGAUAAGUUAUCACAGAAAAUCCAUACCUGAUCUUUUGGAGUUUGAUGAAGGUCUUCCAUCAAUUGUUUAAGCCAGGUGCUUUCUUGUGCUGCCGCUGCCGCUGAUCGAUAUUCUGCUUCAGUACUUGACAGUGCCACUGUAGGUUGCCUUUUGCUGCACCAUGUUAUGGCUCCCGAUCCAAGACUGAAGAGAUAUCCAGUGGUUGAUCUCCGUGUAUCACAAUCUCCGGCAUAGUCGGCGUCGCAGUAACCAAUAACCUGGCAUUCUUUUGUUUUCUUAUAUAGGAUGCCAUAAUUUAAGGUGCCUUUGACAUACCUGAGUAUUCGCCUUAUUGCAUCAAGGUGAGGCUUCUUUGGUGUGCUCAUGUAUCGGCUUGCCACUCCAACGGCAUAGGAAAUAUCUGGCCGACUAAGUGUCAGAUAGAUAAGACUCCCGACCAGUUGCCGAUACAUGGUUGCAUCCUCCAAGUUCUUUCCUUUGUCUUCUUGAAGUCUUGCGUUAGGAUCCAUAGGAGUGGAAAUAGGUUUGCAGUCAAGCAUCCCAUACCUCUUAAGAAGGUCUUUCGCAUACUUUUGUUGGCCUAAGAAUAUCCCAUUCUUAGUGUGCUCCACCUCAAGUCCAAGGAAGUGUCUUAACUCACCAAGUUCCUUCAUUUGAAAUCUCACGGAGAGAUUUUCCCUUGUCCUUUCUAUCUCCUCGGAGUAAUCUCCCGUGAUGAUCAAGUCAUCAACAUAGACUAGAACUAUUGCUAGUCUUCCUUCCUUGGCCAUCACAAAUAAACUAGAGUCUGAUGGAGCAACUUUAAAGCCAUUGUGUACUAGGAACUCACCGAUCUUUCCAUACCAUGCUCUUGGUGCUUGCUUUAGCCCGUAGAGUGCCUUCUUUAGCUUGCAGACAUGCUCGGGGUAUUUCUUGCUCUCAAACCCCUUUGGCUGCUCCAUGUAAAUCUCCUUGUCAAGUUCUCCAUGCAGAAAGGCAUUCUUGACAUCCAUCUGCCACAACUCCCAAGACUUGCUGGCAGCUAAUGCAAGCAAGACUCGAACUGUUGUGAUUUUUGCCACCGGACUGAAUGUUUCUUCGUAAUCCAGUCCAUACUCCUGCGAGAAACCUCGUGCCACAAGUCGAGCUUUAUACCUUUCAAUUGAGCCAUCUGUUCGGGUUUUCACUUUGUAGACCCAUUUGCAGGAUAUUGGCUUUACGUCCUUUGGCUUUGGCACUAAGUCCCAUGUUUGGUUUUCCUUUAGUGCCUUAAUCUCUUCUUCCAUCGCCUUCUGCCACUCAGGGCCUCGUGCUGCUUCUUCAUAGGAAGAUGGCUCAAUAGGUAAAGACUCAUCGGCAAGAGCAGCAUUAGCGUACCUUGGAUUGGGCUUCCUGGGUCUUGUUGAUCUUCGAAGUUCUUGAUCAUGCUCCUCGGUUUGUGGCUCUUCAGGUUGGUGUAUGCCAGUCUUCCACGGACUCUUGGUCUUACUUGGUGAGCUCCUUUCUCCUUCACUUGGGGUUUCUAGCUUUUGAUCUCUUUCUUCUUCUAUAACCUCCUCCACGUCAGGUGAUUCAGGAAUCUCUUCUUUCUUAGGGGACCACCAUGAAGAAGCUUCAUCGAACACAAUGUUCCUUGAGGUGUGACAUUUACCUGUGGUUGGAUCACAACACCUCCAUCCUUUUCGAGCAUCAUCGUAACCAACGAAGAUGCACCUCUUCGCCUUCUUUUCAAACUUGGUUCUUAGGUGAUCUGGCACAAAGAUAUAGCAUACGCAACCAAAUACCUUGAGGUGGCUGAUGGCUGGUUUCAUCCUCCAAAGCUUCUCAUGUGGUGAUUUGAACCCCAACCUCACUUGUGGUAGCUUAUUAAUCACAUGAGCUGCAGUCCUCAUACACUCAGCCCAGAAUCUUCCAGGAACAUUUUUAGCAUGCAACAUACUCCGACAAGUUUCCGCAAGGUGACGAUUCUUGCGCUCCGCUACUCCAUUUUGUUGUGGAGUAUUAGGGCAAGUUAACUGCCUUUUUAUCUUAUUUUUCUUGAGAUAGAUGGUGAACUCAUUGGAUAAAUAUUCUCUCCCAUUGUCAGUGCGUAGGCACCGUAUCGUAUACUCGAGUUCACCUUCUAUCAUAUCCUUAAAUUCCUUAAAUUUCAUAAAGGUCUCAGACUUCUCCUUCAUAAAGUAUACCCAAACGUACCUUGAGAAGUCGUCGAUGAAGGUCACCAUGUAUCUCAUGCCUCCAAGUGAUAUUUGCUUGACUGGGCCAAAGACAUCUGAGUGUAUGAGCUCUAGAGGUACCUUUGACUGAUGCUGCGACUCCUUGUAUGGCAAUUGGUGGGCCUUGCCAUACUGACAUCCAGCACAGACCAUGUCUGUACGGAUAUCAAGAUCAGGAAGCCCCUUCACUACAUGCUUCUCCAUCAUCUCCUUCAACUUGUGGUAGCUGACGUGUCCAAGCCGCGCAUGCCAAAGAUCAGCCGUCUCAUUCUUUCGAGUCUUGUCUACGUAUGCUGACUCAGCAAAGAGCACAAAGAGUGAGUCUCUCUUUUUCCCUUCCAUGAUGGGUGUGCCGAUCACCUUGAGCCUUCUGAAGAUUGCUACUUCUUGUGGACCAAACAGAACAUACUUCCCUUCUGCUGUCAGUUGAGGUACUGACAACAGAUUCUUCUUCAAGCCUGGGACGUGAUAGACUCUCUCAAGUUGGAGUUGUUGAGUACCAUACCUUGGAACGGCUGUCUUUUCAACAUGGGAAAUCGAUAGCUUGGAGUUGUUAGCUGUCAGCACCAUUUUUCCUCCCUUGUACUUGGUCAUAUCUUGCAGCUUGUUGUCAUCAUUAGUCAUAUGGUUGGAGCACCCAGAAUCAACGAUCCAAUCAUCUUUAUAGUUGAUUUUUGGAUCCUUGAUUGCUGCAAGGGCUGGCGCCUCCAUGUCCUCCUCCAACUCUUCUUCAUCCGUUGCAAAGACUGGUGGCUUCAUGUCUUCCUCCAACACUUCUUCAUCCAUCGCAAAGGCUGGUGCCUCCAUAUCUUCCUCCAACUCUUCUUCAUCCAUUGCAAGGGCUGGCACCUCCAUGUCUUUCUCCAAGUCUUCUAUGUCAACCUCUUGAGAGUAUCCAGCUUCGGCGUCCCAUUCUUCUUCGCUCAUGGAUGCUUCUAGAGUGAUCUCCUCUUUCUCUUUUGUGGUGGCCACAUUCCCUUCAUAACGCCUUCUUGGAUAUCGACAUUCUCGAGUAAGGUGACCUUUCUUACCACAAUUGGAGCAUCCAUCAUUUGACCUCCUUGGAAAUCGGCAUUCUCGAGCAAAGUGACCUGCCUUGCCACAAUUGAAGCAUCCAUCACUUGGUCUCCUUGCAUUCUUCUCGUACCAUUUUGGUCCUUGUCUUUCUCGUUGGUCUCCCCCUGAAGAGUUGCUUCUCUCCUUUGGAUGUUCUUUCCCACCUUCUGUCCACUUAGGCUUGGGCUUCCAUUGUUUUUGGUGUGGGCUCUUCUUCUUAGUGAAAAGUGCCUCCUCUUCUUCCUUUAUGGUUAUGCUCCCCAUCUUCUUAGCUAACUCCUCUUGAUUUACCAAUAAAUUCUCCAACUCCACUACUGAAGGUGGAGUAGGCCAUCCCAUCACCGCAGCCAUAAACCCAUUGUAUUCGGGUCUAAGACCGUGGAUGAUGAUUCUCUUCAUCCGAGUCUCCUCACCUUCUCAUCCGGGGCAAGUUGGGAUAUCUCACGGCAAAUAAACUUCACCUUCGAAAAAUAUUGACUGAUGGAUAGAUUGCCUUGUGAGAUACCUGCGAGCUCAUUUUCCAAGAGCUGGAGCCGUGCUUCAUUUUUCCUUGAGAAUAGCUUCGCCAAAGUCUCCCAUGCCUCCUUAGGUGUCUUCUCAUCACGGAUGUGCUCCAAUAGGUCCUCUUCGAUGGUCGUCUUCAAUACAAACAUGGCCUUUCCUGACUUGAUCUUCCAUUUCCGCAAGGCAUCAGCAUUCUCUGGAGGAAAUGCUUCGGUGCCCGCAACGACCUCCCAUAGGUCUUGACCUUGUAGGUAGGACUCCAUACAGGUCUGCCAAUAGCCAUAGUUGUGGCUAUUAAGCUUCCUGAUCCCGCUGCUUGAGCUAGCAAGAUCCGCCAUGGUGACUUGCGCCCAGCGUCAAGUAAGCUUUGGUCCCGGACCAGCUUCACAGUCCUAGACUGUGCACCAGCAGAGUCUCCCCUCAGCGCCUUCUUGUUGCACCGAACAAAGCAAGCACCCCGUGCUUACAACUCUUCCUCCAAAUGACGGUCCCGGACCGCCUGCUCUGAUACCAACUGUAGAGAAUUCGAGGUGGACCUAACACACUACGAGAGGGCCUAUUCACCUAUACCAACUACUAUGGUGUAGUUGAUUAGUCCCUUUUUAUUUCUACUUACUUAGUGCAAGCUUCCGGGCGGCAGAGCCACUCACGUUAAAGCAAGUCUUGAAUCCGGGCGGCUAUGCCACUCACGUUGAAACAAGACCGUUGUGAUUCCGGGCGAAUCCGCUCACGUUAAAUCACAACUUAUAUGCACUAAGUACUCAGAAAUAACAAGGCCUAACCGGGAGACUUAUAUGAACAAAGUAGUACUAUAUUGCUUUAGGAAUAUUAGUACAAGAGAGAGCAUACACACCUUACACUUGCUCACACCUUGUUCUCCACCUUCUUCACUUCUUUAUUCUCUACUACUCAAGGUGUGAGGCAAGGGCCUCUAUUUAUAGGACUACAUGGCCAUUGGAUCUUUGACAUGUGUCAAAAUCUUAGCCAUUGAUACAAAAUAUCUAAAGCCUUCCACACACUUCUACAUAAAUAUCUAGAUACUACAAGGUUUCCUAUUUAUUUAUUUUAAACUCCUAUUCUAGAAUAUUCCAAAGCUUCUUCAUGCAUAUCUAAACACUAGAAGGUUCCCUCUUUUAUUUAUUUUAUAUUCUAGAGUAUUCCAUAGUAAUGUCUUCUUUCUUGUAAUAUUGAGAACACUCUAGAAGCUUGCAUUGUAUUCUCCAACACAG